UCACUCUUUUUCCUUCAGUUCUAUCAUGGUGUUCAAAAAUGGUACGAGGGCUUCCUCGUUUUCUUCAUGUUAUCCCCAUUUCUUGGUUCAUUCUCUCUUUUUUUCACUUCUAUAAAUUUGUUUCUCUUUCUCCAAUUAAAACCUUAAAAAAGGUACAAAUUUUUUACUCAUUUUAAGGGAAAAUCCUCUUUUUAAUUCUCACUCGUACCAAUCACAAAAUAAAUAAAAAAACUUAAAAAAAUGAAGAUGAUUCUUGAUCUUGUGCAGUUUUGUUAGUUUUCAUUAUUUCAUUCCCUACUUUUUUUUUCAAAAUUCCUAUUUUAGUUGUGUCUCACAUACACAAU
This 344-nucleotide long non-coding RNA is filed under the name Phaseolus vulgaris (common bean). RNAcentral describes it as "long non-coding RNA (PVUL_LNC001377)". The record is from RNAcentral. Lineage: Eukaryota; Viridiplantae; Streptophyta; Magnoliopsida; Fabales; Fabaceae.